Molecule: long non-coding RNA, 1165 nt
Filed under: Macaca fascicularis (crab-eating macaque)
Lineage: Eukaryota; Metazoa; Chordata; Mammalia; Primates; Cercopithecidae
Description: lncRNA (ENSMFAG00000052284.1)
Source: RNAcentral
CCUCAAAACCAGCAAGUUUUUAUUAAGGGUUUCAAAAGGGGAGGGGCUGAAAGAACAGAGUAGUUACAAAGAUCACAGCUUCAAAGGGCAAAAAGCAGAGCUACUAAUAAGCGUCUAACAAAGAUCACAUGCUUCUGAGGGAACGGGACAAAGGGCAAAAGCAGAACUACUGAUAAGGGUCCAACAAAGAUCACUAGGCAAAGGGCAGAAGCAGAACUACUGAUAAGGCUCUAUGUUCAGUGGUGCACGUAUUGUCUUGAUAAAUAUCUUAAAUAACAGAAAACAGGGUUCGAGAGCAGAGAACCGGUCUGACCACAACUUUACCAGGAUGAAUUUUUUCCCACCCUAGUAAGGCUGAGGGUACUGCAGGAGACCAGGGCAUAUCUCAGUCUUUAUCUCAACUGCAUAAGACAGACAUUCCCAGAGCAGCUGUUUAUAGACCUCCAGUAAAGAUAACAGGAUUCAGAGAUUAAAGUAAGACAGGCAUAAGAAAUUAUAAAUGUAUUAUUUCAGAACUGGUAAAUGUCCAUGAAAUCUUCACAAUUUAUGUUCCUCUGCUGCAGCUCCAGUUGGUCCCUCCAUUCGGGGUCCCUGAAUUCUCACAACACCAGGGAAGCCAAGGAGCACACCUGGAGCAUUCUCCAAAUUGAAAGGAGGCAGCUCACAAGUGGCACCAAACAUAGAUAACUGUCACCAAUGACUCCUGCACAAGCCACACCCAUGAGGCAGGAGGAGGAUUAUACUCAGUUAACAACAUGUAAGAAAAGAAUGCUACCUGGAAAUGAGGAAGUGUCAUAAAAUCCAAAUCCACCAGUCAUAUCAGCCACCCACCUCCUUUCUUGCAACCAGCUACCACCUACAGGAAAUAUUCAGAGUGCAAGAAUGUUCAUCCACUGGAGACGAUCUGCCUAACAAUCAGCAAAUGUUUGACCAUGGCAUUCACCCAGCGCUGCAUCCGCUUUGCUGAGAGCAGCCAGGAGCGACACAACAGCAGGUGGCUUUGCUGAGUAGGAAAGGGAAGAACAGCCGUCCAUAGUUCUCCUGGCUGGAGGCUACUCAGCUCACAGUCAACACUUUGUGACAGAGAAGAAGGAGGAAGAGGUGCCAGACAGGAUAAGUGGUACUUAUUUUGAAACUAAAAUCCAUAAAUUAUACUAUAUUAAAC